RNAcentral lists this unclassified non-coding RNA (378 nucleotides) under plant metagenome. RNAcentral's name for it is "partial contains 5.8S ribosomal RNA, internal transcribed spacer 2, and large subunit ribosomal RNA". The stretch from base 1 to 105 matches the Rfam family "5.8S ribosomal RNA", at positions 50 to 154 of the family's 154-position model. The record is from RNAcentral.
GAAAUGCGAUAAGUAAUGUGAAUUGCAGAAUUCAGUGAAUCAUCGAAUCUUUGAACGCACCUUGCGCUCCUUGGUAUUCCUUGGAGCAUGCUCGUUUGAGUAUCAUGAAAUCUUCAAAGUAAAUCUUUUGUUAACUCAAUUGGUUUCUACUUUGGUAUUGGAGGUCUUUGCAGCUUCACACCUGCUCCUCUUUGUUCAUUAGCUGGAUCUCAGUGUUAUGCUUGGUUCCACUCGGCGUGAUAAGUUAUCUAUCGCUGAGGACACUGUAAAAGGUGGCCAAGGUAAAUGCAGAUGAACCGCUUCUAAUAGUCCAUUGACUUGGACAAUACUUUUAUGAUCUGAUCUCAAAUCAGGUAGGACUACCCGCUGAACUUAAGC